AAAAUUUCUAAAAUUAUCAGGAACAGAUUUCCAAUUUUUCUUUUUGUGCUCUCCUUUUCUCUCUUCUAGGGUUUCAACGGCAGCAACAACCUUCAUCAACCUCCUCCGCCUCUACCGCUGUGAAAUCACAUCGCCAUCUGUUGCUUUAAUUGAGCAGGUGAUUCAACUCUUGCGGUUACCAAUCAUCUAAACUCAACUACUUUUCUUUUUCCCGCAGAGUCUUGAUGCUUUCCUGAGGAAGAAGGUCCAUUGUAAUAUCAGCACCGGUUUCGAUACUCUUAGGAGGCGAGCUUGAUUUCUUAAGAACAAUUAUAUCACAUCUUGCUGUAAUGAGGGAGGAGCUACUCAUGUAGCUAUAACUUGUAACCGAUGACUAGUGAAGCUUCCGUUGUGGAGAUAAUGGUCGUAUCCGAGGAUGGAAGUGGAAGGAAUGUUUAGAAGGGAAAGACUUAUGCUAUUAUUUCAAAGGCAGUGAGCUCAGCAAAUCAAGU
Mercurialis annua (annual mercury) is the source of this 491-nucleotide long non-coding RNA. RefSeq lists it as uncharacterized. The record is from RefSeq and is a predicted model, not a curated record. NCBI's taxonomy places the organism in Eukaryota, Viridiplantae, Streptophyta, Magnoliopsida, Malpighiales, Euphorbiaceae. The transcript has 4 exons.